GGGCGUAGCUCAACUGGAUAGAGCAUCAGACUUCGGAUCUGAGGGUUAGGGGUUCGAGUCCUCUCGCCC
RNAcentral lists this transfer RNA (69 nucleotides) under marine eukaryotic metagenome. It matches the Rfam family "tRNA". Rfam says of the family: Transfer RNA (tRNA) molecules are approximately 80 nucleotides in length. Their secondary structure includes four short double-helical elements and three loops (D, anti-codon, and T loops). The record is from RNAcentral.